RNAcentral lists this long non-coding RNA (2587 nucleotides) under Bemisia tabaci. Its description in RNAcentral is "lncRNA ENSSSA3NGG005180". The record is from RNAcentral. Lineage: Eukaryota; Metazoa; Arthropoda; Insecta; Hemiptera; Aleyrodidae.
AUGCUUGCAGUGCUACGUGAAAAUCUCCGAGAAAACAGGUACUUCGCAAUUUUGCUGUUUAUAAGUUUGGAGAGACGGGUGCAAAUGAGUGCAAGUUCAAAUACUUUGGAAAAUCAAGAGCAUUGUAGCGUAUGCAAUCAAGUGGUAAAAAAAGAACAAAUACACAGCUUGUCACAAUGUCAAUCGUGCAAAAUAACAAUUUGCAGCAUGGGUGUGAAUCAAUGUCCACAUUGUGAUUCAUCUAUUUGUGACAUGUGUGAAUACCGAUGUAAAUACUGCGGAAUAAUGAUUUGCAACUGCUGUAAAAUAUAUGUAAAUGUAUGUGACGUAUGCUCUUGGAAUGAAGAUAACAGUGACUAAAGAUUCACAAAAUUUAACCUUCAAAAAACUGAAUGCGAAACAGAAUAUAUGUUGUCACCACUGCUAUAAUAAUUUUUCCUCGAUUUUCAAAUUUACAAUGGAGUCACUAUUUUUCUGAAACCUAACCUAAGUAAAAGUGUGCUGGUCUGACGUCAGCCUGACUCAGUCUGACUCAGGUUGACGACAAACUGACGACAAGCAACCUAGGCUGACAUUGGAUUCAAGCCUGAAUGAUCGACAGGCUGACGCUACCCUGCUCCUGACAUGUUCGCGACACAGAGACGGUAGGUGAGAGCCUUCAAAUCUUGAAUAUAUGCAACCCGUGCGGCAAAACUGACAUUUACAGUGUUGCACAAGUGAAAAAUUGUAAAUUUCUGUGAAAUAUGUAAUAAAAUCUUACACUGCUGCGAAAACUAAGAAACUGUAAAAGAAGGAACGGAGAGGCAGAAGGGGCAAAUUAGGAAGAAGAGAUGCUGUAAAGACAGAGGACGGAUAAAAGAGGAUUCCAACAAAGAAAGAGAAAUUCUUCUUGUUGUUCUCAAAUUCAUUCCAUUAUUCUUAUUACUUCUAGUUUUCUCUCCCUUUUUCUUCCCUCUACCUCCUCUCCUUCUUCUUAAUUUUAUUCUUUAAUUAUUUUUGUCCCUCUUCUUCUUCCCUUUCUUUUUUAUUUUUCAUUCGUUCUUUAAUACAUUGACCAAUCGUUCAUAAGCCAGGAAGGUCAGGACCAAAGGCUAUCAGACUUAGGAGGAAGAAAUGCUGUAAAGACAGAGGACGAUGAAGAGGACGAUUCCAACGAAGAGAGAGAAAUUCUUCUUGUUGUUCUCUAAUUCAUUCCAUUCUUAUUCAUUCAAUCAAACACCAUCCAAAUCGAACUCAAAAAGUUACUGAAAAAAGACGCUCCUAUACAUUGAAUGAAGACGCGCAACGUCUCAUGGCCAAAACGCCACUGCUUGUCAGCACAGUUAGGGGGAGGGGGGUGCCACGGUUCGGGAAGGGGUCAAAGGGACCCCCUUCCCCCAGAAAGGGGGGAGGGUUCACCCGACCGGUCACCGCACCGUGCGUGCACUCACUCGAUCAUCCGACAUCAUUCGGUCCACAUCUCAUCCUGGACGUAGGUCUGCCCGACCGCAGGACCAAGUCGGCGGACCUGCCAGGGGGGGCUCGGGGGCCGGGGCACCGGGGGGAGGAGGGGGUCAGAAAGUGAACCGAGUGGACUCGGGCCGCGGCCGUAAAACCAGAUAUAGUAGCGAGUCCGGUCUCGAGUUAUCAACAUGUUAGCUUGUGAACUUACCAGGCCUACUCCGUCCACUUCCACGCCGGUAAGUGUUGACUUGAAGUUCUCUCUGUGCUCUGGUAUUCUGGUUCAAGCCCCCCCCCCCCGCCCCCGAUCCGCGAUGUGGUCCGCCGGUAGUGUAGUGGUUCGUGGUCGGUGCACCCCCGGCGCCGGGUUCCGGGUUCGAGCCCCGGUGCCGAGGAGGAUGAGUGUUGGGGUGGGAAGCCGAUAUCGAUUGGACUGUCCAGCGAAAGGAAGUGUUCAUUAACUAUUGGGAAGAGUAGAAAGUUAGUAUUUACGCGGACAAACAAAGUUUUCUAUCAGUGAUACGUUUGGAGACCCGCACAAGAUUAGAUGUAGAUUUAGAUUUAGAUUUAGAUUUUUAUUCGCAAAGGACCUCUACAUUUUUGAUAAUUUCAUAAAUAAUUACCAAACAAAGCAAAAGAUAAAAAAUAAGAAAAGUGAUGAUAUAUUAAACGGAAACAAUAUAAUUUAAAGAUAAAGUCAAAUUCAUAAUAAUUAAUUUUAAAAGUUGUAAUAAAGAUAGAAAAAUAAAUAAAAUCAAGUUUAAUGAAUUGAGUAAAUAACCAUAACCAUGAGUAGUAACCAUUUUAGAUGAAUGAUCAGUAAAAUUUUACAAAACUCACUUGCACGUAAAAUAAUUUUACGUGCAAGUGAGCUUUUUAAAAUUUUACUGAAAGUUUAUCGUACCUGUGUUUAAUUGGAACGCACGUUUAGAAAACUUUGUUUCUUCGUGUAGAUACCAACUUUCUGUGUUUGAAGUUUUGUUUUGUUUAUUUGUUUUUCUUAGGUCUUAUCUUGAGAUCUUGUGAUUUGAGUGCUCUUGACAAUGAUGGUACAUGAUUAAUUCAUGAGGUAUCACGAGGUUGAUUUUUUCUAAAAAGUUCUCACCAAAAAAACAAUAAAACAAUAACCCUAAAAGAUAGAGUCUCU